UACGUAGGGGGCUAGCGUUGUCCGGAUUUAUUGGGCGUAAAGAGCGUGUAGGCGGCCAGGUAGGUCUGCUGUGAAAACUCGAGGCUCAACCUCGAGACGUCGGCGGAAACCAUCUGGCUAGAGUCCGGAAGAGGAGAGUGGAAUUCCUGGUGUAGCGGUGAAAUGCGCAGAUAUCAGGAAGAACACCCGUGGCGAAGGCGGCUCUCUGGGACGGUACUGGACGCUGAGACGCGAAAGCGUGGGGAGCGAACAGG
RNAcentral lists this ribosomal RNA (254 nucleotides) under uncultured bacterium. RNAcentral describes it as "partial 16S ribosomal RNA". It matches the Rfam family "Bacterial small subunit ribosomal RNA", at positions 524 to 776 of the family's 1533-position model. The record is from RNAcentral.